This 417-nucleotide long non-coding RNA is filed under the name Mytilus galloprovincialis (Mediterranean mussel). The record is from RNAcentral. Lineage: Eukaryota; Metazoa; Mollusca; Bivalvia; Mytilida; Mytilidae.
AUUAGAUGGAACUGUCGUAAGAGAUCUGUAUCUGCAAUCAACAGUCUUACCCGAGCAACUACAUGAGGUAGGGCAUCCAUUGACGGUGAUGCAGGAUGGAUAUAAAAGUUAAAAUGUCUAAUUGUACUUGCAUUUCUACCUAAAUUUCCUUUAUUUGUAAAAUCAUUUUGAUUUUUUUUCUCCCCAUAAUCUGACAUAGGUGUUAGGGGAGAACAUCAAGGGGGAGACCAUUCACUACUAUUUUUCCAUAUCUUACUUUCCUGUAUGGGAAAGAUCGUUUUUUCCCACUGCUUUUGCUAAAAAAAAAAUAUAACAAACUAUUUACUAAAAUACAUUUAAAAAUUAUUUUUGUUGAGCCUUUGAGUGAAUACAAAAAAGCGAGACAUAGUGAUCCUAAAUUCUGUUUCUUCAGCGUCC